CAGGACGUCGCCCGGCCGAGCGCCUGCCAGGGCGAUUCGGAGUGGCGGAGACAGAAAGCCCAUGUUAAUAACUAUUCAAUUUUCUAGAUCGAUUCUUCUAAAGCUUAUGCAAAAAAAAAAAAAAGAAGAAGAAGAAAAGAAGAAAAAAGAAAGAACCAACAAUUCUGUUUCUAAGAUUUUAAAGCGAUAGGCCAGUCGGAGACGCCGAGAUUUAUUUGAGGGAAAGCAAGAGUGCGCGAAGCGGACCCAGCGUUUGGAAGACCGGCCCGCUUGCUUGGAUGUUGGACUGUUGAUUUCUCCAAUUAAUGAAAUGCGUUUGGUGUUAAUCAUAUUUAUUUUAUGGAAGGGGGAGACGCUAGGAGGGUGUAUUUAAAAAAAAUCUUAAAAGCCUGCAAAACGAUCGAAGAGUGAAAACUAUUGUUGGAACGAGUUGGUUUUUACCUCAACAGCGCCACCUUUCGGCAAAGGUCAGUUGAAAUUGAUCCGUGUCCAGUUUUGUUGAUGAAAUGAAAAGAAGCUGCUUUCCUAAGGUGGGAGGAGGAGAGAGGCACAAAGUUAGAGAACCGCCCUUGUUAGAAGAAGGGCUGAAAGCAGUGCUGGCAGGUGCGAGAAUCAUUUUUUUUCUCUUUCUCUGUCCCCCUUGUUUGUGGAUAAAGAAGCCAGAGGACACAGGACCCUUCUCAGAGUAAUUCUGGCCGAGAGACUUUUUGCAAGAGGAUCCCGUGUAACAAGCAAAGCCCGAUACCCUUUAAAAAUGCCAGGAUGGAUUUUCAGCGGGCUUUAUGGCAAUAUCAAUAGAAUGAAAGUUACUUGUAAUUCAGUGAUAAAUGAGAUGUCUCUAGUAAGUAAGAUUAAGUGCAGUGCUAUAAAGUUGUUUAUCUGAAAAGUAAUUCUCAGAAAACCUGACUUCUGACACUUAGUCAUAUAUUAAGCCAGCUUCUUGAACAUUGCACUUCAGAAUCCUCUCACCCACCCAACAGCAUAACUUUACUAUUUAUAACGAGACCUUAGGUGUCACUCAUUGGCUCCUUAGACCAGAGUCGUCUUGUGUUAAUUUCUCCCAUGCUGGCAGCCUUGGGUUUUCUGCAACCCUGGGAAUCCCUAACAAGAGACUCCCCAAAAGGUUUACCCUAAAAGGCCAGCACUGUUGGUACUUUCCAGAAAAGCACUUUUUCCUUUCAUCAUUACUGCAGAGAAGCUGUUUAUAGGAGUAGUUUUGGUUUUAUGGGAGUACUUUGUUGGGAUGGAAUGAGGUAUGCUGUUACCAGUUUGGGGAAGAAAGAGUGAAGAUUAUGUCAAUAUUUAUGCAACCUAACAGAAUUCCUUUGCUUUCCUCCCCUCAAACAGUAUUUUACGUAGUAAUGAAGUUAAGGGAUUAUAGCCUAUGUAUUCAGAGGGAAAUUUAACUGCUUCAGUUACACAAACAUAUUAUGUCAUUUAACAGUGUCCAUAGCAAUAAUUUUUCUAAGGCUUGUAAAAAAAAUCAUUAGCCACAAAUGUCUGAAGCUGAUAUUUUUCAUGUAAAAUAUGAAUUUCAGUAUAUUUAGGAAAAAAUCUUUUUUUGUUUAUAAAAAUUUUUUUAUCCUUUUGCAUCAGUUUUGGUACAAGCUGUGAGAUAUAUUUCCUGCCUCUCAUGAAAGUAUUUUUUUUUCAGUCAGGAACACUGAAACAUUCAUAAAUAAACAACAUUUAUAAACAAAGUUCACUAAUGAUGAAGACCAUGGGAUACAGAUUCAUGGCCAUGCACCUAAUUGUUGCAAUUAUGUAUCAUUUCUAGAAAUUAAAAUGCCCAUGUUUGGCCAGCUAAACGUAUUAUUAUCUGCACAUUUUUCUGGUUUAUUUUUGUACACUGCUGUCAAGCCAGGGUAUUUUUCUUUCUCUUAUUGCAGAGUCUUUUAUAGUCUCCUAUUUUCUUUUGGGGAAAAAAAAAAAAUCCAAAUCUUUUUUGUUUUGUUUUGACAUGGAGCAGUGGUCCUCUCAGGCUUAUAACUUAAUUCUCAUUUUUGUCCUUUUUACUUUAUUAUUUAGUGAUUCACAGGGGUGUCUAAACAUUUACAGUUCUCUGUUAGCAGCGUUUCUCUUGUAACAAUGGAGCUCUCUCAUUUUAAUUAGUACUAUUCAGGUUUUUGAGUCUCUACAAUUACAGCAGGCCACAUUGCUCUAAAUUUCUUUGCUAACAUUGUUUGUUUCACUUCUAUCCAAGCCAAUCUAAUCCAAAUACAAUAUGAACUGUGUUUUCUUACUGCUUAAUAUCCCCUUGCUAUAUAUACUCUAGUAAUCUCUGUAGAACAAUAUAGAGUAAUUU
Molecule: long non-coding RNA, 2305 nt
Filed under: Sus scrofa (pig)
Lineage: Eukaryota; Metazoa; Chordata; Mammalia; Artiodactyla; Suidae
Description: lncRNA (ENSSSCG00000042332.1)
Source: RNAcentral